This 460-nucleotide ribosomal RNA is filed under the name uncultured bacterium. RNAcentral describes it as "partial 16S ribosomal RNA". It matches the Rfam family "Bacterial small subunit ribosomal RNA", at positions 338 to 795 of the family's 1533-position model. The record is from RNAcentral.
CCUACGGGUGGCAGCAGUGAGGAAUAUUGGUCAAUGGACGCAAGUCUGAACCAGCCAAGCCGCGUGCAGGAUGACGGCUCUAUGAGUUGUAAACCUCUUUUGUACGGGGGCAAACCCCGAUACGUGUAUCGGGUUGAAAGUAUCGGACGAAUAAGGAUCGGCUAACUCCGUGCCAGCAGCCGCGGUAAUACGGAGGAUCCGAGCGUUAUCCGGAUUUAUUGGGUUUAAAGGGUGCGCAGGCGGUUUGAUAAGUUAGAGGUGAAAUGUCGGGGCUCAACCCCGAAACUGCCUUUGAUACUGGUGGACUAGAGUAUAGUUGAGGUAGGCGGAAUGUAUGGUGUAGCGGUGAAAUGCUUAGAGAUCGUACAGAACACCGAUUGCGAAGGCAGCUUACCAGCCUAUAUCUGACGUUGAGGCACGAAAGCGUGGGUAGCGAACAGGAUUAGAUACCCCUGUAGUC